RNAcentral lists this ribosomal RNA (385 nucleotides) under uncultured eukaryote. Its description in RNAcentral is "SSU rRNA". It matches the Rfam family "Eukaryotic small subunit ribosomal RNA", at positions 587 to 972 of the family's 1831-position model. The record is from RNAcentral.
AGCUCCAGUAGCGUAUAUUAAAGUUGUUGCAGUUAAAAAGCUCGUAGUUGGAUUUCUGGUGGGAGCGUCCGGUCCGCCCCUCACGGGGUGUGUUACUGCGUCGUCUCUGGCCAUCCUCGCAAAGAGCGUGCCGAGCAUUAAGUUGUUCAGUGCGGGAUUUGCGUCGUUUACUGUGAAAAAAUUAGAGUGUUUAAAGCAGGCGUAAGCUGUGAAUACAUUAGCAUGGAAUAAUAAGAUAGGACUUUGGUACUAUUUUGUUGGUUUGCAUACCGAGGUAAUGAUUAACAGGAACGGUUGGGGGUAUUGCUAUUUACAUGUCAGAGGUGAAAUUCUUGGAUUUUGGAAAGAGCAACAUCGGCGAAAGCAUUUACCAAGGAUGUUUUCA